Molecule: ribosomal RNA, 483 nt
Filed under: uncultured bacterium
Lineage: Bacteria
Description: bacterial SSU rRNA
Rfam family: Bacterial small subunit ribosomal RNA
Source: RNAcentral
AUUGAACGCUGGCGGCAUGCCUUACACAUGCAAGUCGAACGGUAACAGGUCUUCGGAUGCUGACGAGUGGCGAACGGGUGAGUAAUACAUCGGAACGUGCCCGAUCGUGGGGGAUAACGGAGCGAAAGCUUUGCUAAUACCGCAUACGAUCUACGGAUGAAAGCGGGGGAUCUUCGGACCUCGCGCGGACGGAGCGGCCGAUGGCAGAUUAGGUAGUUGGUGGGAUAAAAGCUUACCAAGCCGACGAUCUGUAGCUGGUCUGAGAGGAUGAUCAGCCACACUGGGACUGAGACACGGCCCAGACUCCUACGGGAGGCAGCAGUGGGGAAUUUUGGACAAUGGGCGCAAGCCUGAUCCAGCCAUGCCGCGUGCAGGAUGAAGGCCUUCGGGUUGUAAACUGCUUUUGUACGGAACGAAAAGGUUCUUUCUAAUAAAGAGAGCUCAUGACGGUACCGUAAGAAUAAGCACCGGCUAACCUACGUG